This 463-nucleotide ribosomal RNA is filed under the name uncultured bacterium. RNAcentral describes it as "partial 16S ribosomal RNA". It matches the Rfam family "Bacterial small subunit ribosomal RNA", at positions 28 to 507 of the family's 1533-position model. The record is from RNAcentral.
GAUGAACGCUGACAGAAUGCUUAACACAUGCAAGUCUUUGGCGAAGCUGUGCUUGCACAGCCUAGCCAAGGCGGACGGGUGAGUAACGCGUAAGGAACUUGCCCUGCAGUCAGGGAUAACAGACGGAAACGACUGAUAAGACCUGGUAAAGUCAGGCGGACUCAUGUCCAGCCUGAUGAAAAGAGCUGCUGCAGGGGAGCCUUGCGUCCUAUUAGCUGGUUGGUGGGGUAACGGCCCACCAAGGCGAUGAUAGGUAGCCGGCCUGAGAGGGUGGACGGCCACAAGGGGAAUGAGAUACGGCCCUUACGACUACGGGAGGCAGCAGUGGGGAAUAUUGGACAAUGGUGGCAACCCUGAUCCAGCAAUUCUGUGUGCACGAUGAAGGUUUUCGGAUUGUAAAGUGCUUUCAGCAGGGAAGAAAAAAAUGACGGUACCUGCAGAAGAAGCGACGGCUAAAUACGUG